UCAGAUUGAACGCUGGCGGCAGGCCUAACACAUGCAAGUCGAGCGGCAGCGGGAAGUAGUUUACUACUUUGCCGGCGAGCGGCGGACGGGUGAGUAAUGUCUGGGGAUCUGCCUGAUGGAGGGGGAUAACUACUGGAAACGGUAGCUAAUACCGCAUGACCUCGCAAGAGCAAAGUGGGGGACCUUAGGGCCUCACGCCAUCGGAUGAACCCAGAUGGGAUUAGCUAGUAGGUGGGGUAAUGGCUCACCUAGGCGACGAUCCCUAGCUGGUCUGAGAGGAUGACCAGCCACACUGGAACUGAGACACGGUCCAGACUCCUACGGGAGGCAGCAGUGGGGAAUAUUGCACAAUGGGCGCAAGCCUGAUGCAGCCAUGCCGCGUGUGUGAAGAAGGCCUUCGGGUUGUAAAGCACUUUCAGCGAGGAGGAAGGGGUUGAGUUUAAUACGCUCAAUCAUUGACGUUACUCGCAGAAGAAGCACCGGCUAACUCCGUGCCAGCAGCCGCGGUAAUACGGAGGGUGCAAGCGUUAAUCGGAAUUACUGGGCGUAAAGCGCACGCAGGCGGUUUGUUAAGUCAGAUGUGAAAUCCCCGCGCUUA
Molecule: ribosomal RNA, 598 nt
Filed under: Yersinia pestis biovar Mediaevalis str. K1973002
Lineage: Bacteria; Pseudomonadati; Pseudomonadota; Gammaproteobacteria; Enterobacterales; Yersiniaceae
Description: SSU rRNA
Rfam family: Bacterial small subunit ribosomal RNA
Source: RNAcentral